Synchiropus splendidus (mandarinfish) is the source of this 1981-nucleotide RNA transcript. RefSeq lists it as uncharacterized. The record is from RefSeq and is a predicted model, not a curated record. The transcript is spliced from 13 exons. Lineage: Eukaryota; Metazoa; Chordata; Actinopteri; Syngnathiformes; Callionymidae.
UGUACUUCAUCGAAUCAUCGAGAGAAGCAGGUUGUGCUCCACAUCUGUCCGCCAAAGAUGAAGAAUUUUGAGUACCUCAAGCGUUUCAGGGAGUUUCUCUUGACCGGCGUCUUUGACUCCAGCUUGUCAAAGAUUGACAAACAAGAUAUGCGCCGCUCUGCUCGCAGCUUUAUAUUGAAAGAUGGCAGGAUGUUCUACACUGGAACUAAUGGGCAAUAUCUUCGUUUGGUGGUGUUAACUGAGGAGGAAAAGAGGUCUGUCCUCCACGAAUGCCACGAUCAUCCAGGGACAGGAAAUCAUCGUGGUUUGAGAGCCACCAGAGACAAGGUUGUUGCUGGUUAUUACUGGUCAACUUUAAAGAAGGACGUGUAUGACUGGGUGAGGUGCUGCCAUCGAUGCCAACUCAAUGAUCCCAUUAGUACACAGACACCAACGUUGCAUCCGAUCAAGGUUAAUGAAACGUGGGAUGUGGUUGGCUUGGACCUCAUUGGCCCUCUCCCUGAGACUGCUAGAGGCCAGAAAUAUAUCCUGACUAUGACAGACCUCUACACAAAGUGGGUUGUUGCUCAGCCACUGUGCAGAAAGAGUGCAAGUCGUGUAUGGCAUUAACACAACUUCACAGGCCUCCACGAAGUACACUCCGUUUUUCCUCAUGUUUCACCGACAUCCUCGCUUUCCUGAAGUGAUGAAUGCUUGUCCAAUUGGAGAUUCAUGGGAGGUUGGAGAUCCAGAGGAAGACAUGGACACCACAGUUGAUAAGAUAAGACUCCUGAAUGAGAAGGUCCUUCAAAACAUUGAACUGGCACAGGAAAGACAGAAGAAAUCUUACGCUAUGCGUAAGAAAAAGUCAGUCAAUGUUGGAGAUUAUGUCCUCAUCUUAGGAAGCCCCAAAGAUCGGUUUCGUUCAGCGGCCAUGUCCAGUCAGCAUGAGGGUCCCUUCACUGUUACCAGCAUCUCUUCAAAAGGCGUGGCAACAGUGAGAAAAAGUCAUGGGAAGCACCGGAUGCUCAACAUAAAGCGCCUCAGGCCAUAUAGGAGAUUGGAGAGUCUUAGUCGUCUGAGCAAGAUAGCGUUUUGGCAUGACCACCCAUAUUGGACUGAUAAGCAUGAUGAUCAUCUUUAUGCUUCAUGUGGAGAGAUAUGGGAGCAGAAGUUGGGUCCUCUUCAGGAUAAACUGUUGUCCUAUGUACUGGACACCAGUCGUCCUGCAAAGGAAUUUAUUGUCAAAGAUGGCAAUCUCUGUCUUGUUCGCGAGGAAUUCUGGACUUUGGGCAUUCCGCGAUGCAUGGAUUCAUCUAUUGGAAAUGCCUGCCUGAGGCUCAUUCAAGAAGCUGCUCAGCGAUAUGGGAAGGACGUUCAUAUUGUGGAUAUGUUUGUCGUGCCCACCUGGAAGUUGGAUCACGUAGACCCCUUAGUUGGUCUGAUGGACAACAUGAGAUCAAAGGAUGUCAUUAUGUUUCCAGCAUGGAGUCGUCAACAGAACCAGUCAGAUCACUACUUGUUAUGUGUGUUACUGGUUAAAGAAAAAGAGAUCCUCUUUUUGGAUUCUCUUCUUCCUCAUGGUUUUGGAGAUGAGUCAUAUAGAGCAAUCUUUAGGUGGAUAUUAAACAAUGUCGUCGUUGGUCCUGUCCUACAGCAUCGUUGGGGAAAUAAGCCUUGUUCACUGGCUUUUGGUUUGUAUUGGAGCCUUGUUCUGUGGCUCGUGGUUUGUAUUGGAGCCUUGUUCUGUGGCUUCUGAUUUGUGUUUUAGCCUUGUCUUGCAACAAGCAGUUCAUAUUUUAGCCUCGUUCAAUGGCUAUGGGUAAGAACCUUCAAAUAAUUUGGUAAAUUAGUGGUUAUAUGGUAUGUAACUGUGCUCUCAUUGUUAUUUCCUAGACGAAUCGCCACAUCACUUGAUACUGGACCAUGGCGGGAGAAAACUGGCAGUGACUUUGAUGGCUUUCCUCAACAAACCUCCUCCAACCAUUGUGGAGUCAUGAUG